UGCCAAGGCUAAAUACUCCCUGGCGACCGAUAGUGAAGCAGUACCGUGAGGGAAAGGUGAAAAGCACCCCGGAAGGGGAGUGAAAUAGAUCCUGAAACCGUGUGCUUACAAGAAGUCAGAGCCCUAUUUAUGGGUGAUGGCGUGCCUUUUGUAGAAUGAACCGGCGAGUUACGUUCCCGUGCAAGGUUAAGGUGAAGAGCUGAAGCCGCAGCGAAAGCGAGUCUGAAUAGGGCGAUCUUUAGUACGUGGACGUAGCUUGAUAUUGAAUUUGGGUACGAUCUGUACAGGAUAGGUGGGAGCCGUAGAACUUUGAGCGCCAGCUUGAAGGGAGGCAUCCUUGGGAUACCACCCUGAUCGUAUCUAGGUUCUAACUUGGUACCGUGAACCGGUGCGAGGACAGUGUCAGGUGGGCAGUUUGACUGGGGCGGUCGCCUCCUAAAGAGUAACGGAGGC
This 453-nucleotide ribosomal RNA is filed under the name Paenibacillus polymyxa. RNAcentral's name for it is "partial 23S ribosomal RNA". It matches the Rfam family "Bacterial large subunit ribosomal RNA", at positions 458 to 2307 of the family's 2925-position model. Lineage: Bacteria; Bacillati; Bacillota; Bacilli; Caryophanales; Paenibacillaceae. The record is from RNAcentral.